GGUGCCUAGCAUAACUACUGUCGCUUGUCAUUCCUCCUCGGCUAAGGAAACAGAAAGCCUCUAGAGUCAAGAUGGCAAUACAUAAGAUCAGGCAAGAACUUGUGAGAUUCCUUCUGUGGGAGUCAGAGUACAUUGGACCUCUCCCUCUGGAGGCUUGGAACCACCACACCCCUGUAACAGCUCAAUAGAGGAAGUGCCUACCAGUCAAAGCCAAGGAGGAAGAUACCUAGUAGAACAAGGGAGCAUGAGCCUGUUUAGAAGUAGAUAUUUCCUUGUUGUCAGCAGCAGCAGUGACUUGAU
Long non-coding RNA from Mastomys coucha (southern multimammate mouse), 300 nucleotides. RefSeq lists it as uncharacterized. NCBI's taxonomy places the organism in Eukaryota, Metazoa, Chordata, Mammalia, Rodentia, Muridae. The record is from RefSeq and is a predicted model, not a curated record. The transcript is spliced from 3 exons.